Molecule: transfer RNA, 74 nt
Filed under: Paludibacter sp.
Lineage: Bacteria; Pseudomonadati; Bacteroidota; Bacteroidia; Bacteroidales; Paludibacteraceae
Description: tRNA-His
Rfam family: tRNA
About the family: Transfer RNA (tRNA) molecules are approximately 80 nucleotides in length.
Source: RNAcentral
GUGAGCGUAGUUCAGUUGGUUAGAGCAUCAGAUUGUGGUUCUGAAUGUCGUGGGUUCGAGUCCCAUCGCUCACC